CGAAAGCCUGACGGAGCAAUACCGCGUGAGGGAGGAAGGCUCUAGGGUUGUAAACCUCUUUUCUCAGGGAAGAACAAAAUGACGGUACCUGAGGAAUAAGCAUCGGCUAACUCCGUGCCAGCAGCCGCGGUAAUACGGAGGAUGCAAGCGUUAUCCGGAUUUAUUGGGCGUAAAGCGUCCGCAGGUGGCAGUUCAAGUCUGCUGUUAAAGGUCGGGGCUCAACCCCGAACAGGCAGUGGAAACUGAACAGCUAGAGUACGGUAGGGGCAGAGGGAAUUCCCAGUGUAGCGGUGAAAUGCGUAGAGAUUGGGAAGAACACCGGUGGCGAAAGCGCUCUGCUAGGCCGAAACUGACACUCAUGGACGAAAGCUAGGGGAGCG
This 380-nucleotide ribosomal RNA is filed under the name uncultured cyanobacterium. RNAcentral's name for it is "bacterial SSU rRNA". It matches the Rfam family "Bacterial small subunit ribosomal RNA", at positions 376 to 770 of the family's 1533-position model. Lineage: Bacteria; Bacillati; Cyanobacteriota. The record is from RNAcentral.